AGUGAACGCUGGCGGUAGGCCUAACACAUGCAAGUCGAACGGCAGCACAGUAAGAGCUUGCUCUUACGGGUGGCGAGUGGCGGACGGGUGAGGAAUACAUCGGAAUCUACUUUUUCGUGGGGGAUAACGUAGGGAAACUUACGCUAAUACCGCAUACGACCUACGGGUGAAAGCAGGGGAUCUUCGGACCUUGCGCGAUUGAAUGAGCCGAUGUCGGAUUAGCUAGUUGGCGGGCUAAAGGCCCACCAAGGCGACGAUCCGUAGCUGGUCUGAGAGGAUGAUCAGCCACACUGGAACUGAGACACGGUCCAGACUCCUACGGGAGGGAGCAGUGGGGAAUAUUGGACAAUGGGCGCAAGCCUGAUCCAGCCAUACCGCGUGGGUGAAGAAGGCCUUCGGGUUGUAAAGCCCUUUUGUUGGGAAAGAAAAGCAGCAGGUUAAUACCCCGCUGUUCUGACGGUACCCAAAGAAUAAGCACCGGCUAACUUCGUG
RNAcentral lists this ribosomal RNA (492 nucleotides) under uncultured bacterium. Its description in RNAcentral is "partial 16S ribosomal RNA". It matches the Rfam family "Bacterial small subunit ribosomal RNA", at positions 29 to 507 of the family's 1533-position model. The record is from RNAcentral.